RNAcentral lists this long non-coding RNA (780 nucleotides) under Triticum aestivum (bread wheat). RNAcentral's name for it is "long non-coding RNA (TAES_LNC019114)". Lineage: Eukaryota; Viridiplantae; Streptophyta; Magnoliopsida; Poales; Poaceae. The record is from RNAcentral.
AAAUCCACUUGAACGGUGACACUGAUUAUUGUAGGAAAAUCACAAGAAGCACAAAGGUUGCUCUAUUGGCAUCACAGAACAUCACAGAUCAAUAAUACACCGAGCUUCUGACCAUAUAAUCUGGACCGCCAGACAUUGAAUUAGUCAAAAUCCAGCAUACACAAACAGCAGGCCAUCUCUUUGUGCAUAAACGUGGGAGAUGUAGGUACUUUUCCAUUUAUGUGUUUCAGUGUUUACUGAACGCCUCCAUCAGGCACCUGCCUCAGCCUGCCUACCUUGUCUGAAACUAAAACUGAAAACUCUCCUGCCGCUGCUGUUCUUUAUCUGAAUCCACCCAAAUCCUACUUGUCACUCGAUCAGUCAGGACCCUGACGGGUACAGCGUAUCUUCAUCAAGGUCUGAAAAAAAAAUAAGCAUAUCAUGUACAGGAUUUGUACACGAGCAAGACGGAUGCCUGAGAUUGAAAUCAUCCUGUGAGAGAGAGAGAGAGAGAGAGAGAGAGAGGGAGGGAGAUGUACCGAGUAGAGAGGGAGGGCGUCGUGGUUGCUGCCCUGGUGGCCCGUGUUUCGCCGGCACGCCUCGUCGCCGAGCAACGUCCCGUGCCAGCAGCUGCUCCUUCCGGCCGCACAACGGAGGAUCCAGCGCCGGUGACCCAAUGGGGCUAGGGUUGGAUGCCUCCUCCAUGGAUGCGUGGAGGUGGAGGUGGAGGUCGAGGUAGAUCGGCCGCCGUCGUCGCUGGGAUGAGAAGGAGGCGGCGGAUGGCCAGAGAAGAGGAGAAGG